Molecule: ribosomal RNA, 425 nt
Filed under: uncultured bacterium
Lineage: Bacteria
Description: bacterial SSU rRNA
Rfam family: Bacterial small subunit ribosomal RNA
Source: RNAcentral
GGGGAAUUUUGGACAAUGGGGGCAACCCUGAUCCAGCCAUGCCGCGUGAGUGAAGAAGGCCUUCGGGUUGUAAAGCUCUUUCGGCCGGGAAGAAAUCGCACCUUUUAAUAGAGGGUGUGGAUGACGGUACCGGACUAAGAAGCACCGGCUAACUACGUGCCAGCAGCCGCGGUAAUACGUAGGGUGCGAGCGUUAAUCGGAAUUACUGGGCGUAAAGCGUGCGCAGGCGGUUUGCCAAGACAGGCGUGAAAUCCCCGGGCUUAACCUGGGAACUGCGCUUGUGACUGGCAGGCUAGAGUACGGCAGAGGGGGGUGGAAUUCCACGUGUAGCAGUGAAAUGCGUAGAGAUGUGGAGGAACACCGAUGGCGAAGGCAGCCCCCUGGGCCUGUACUGACGCUCAUGCACGAAAGCGUGGGGAGCAAAC